CGGACGGGUGAGUAACGCGUGGAUAACCUGCCUUUCACAGGGGGAUAACAGCUGGAAACGGCUGCUAAUACCGCAUGAGCCUCUUUUGUCGCAUGAGAAGAGAGGGAAAGAGAAAUCGGUGAGAGAUGGAUCCGCGUCCGAUUAGCUAGUUGGAGGGGUAACAGCCCACCAAGGCGACGAUCGGUAGCCGACCUGAGAGGGUGGACGGCCACAUUGGGACUGAGACACGGCCCAAACUCCUACGGGAGGCAGCAG
This 255-nucleotide ribosomal RNA is filed under the name uncultured bacterium. Its description in RNAcentral is "partial 16S ribosomal RNA". It matches the Rfam family "Bacterial small subunit ribosomal RNA", at positions 99 to 354 of the family's 1533-position model. The record is from RNAcentral.